Molecule: long non-coding RNA, 345 nt
Filed under: Solanum tuberosum (potato)
Lineage: Eukaryota; Viridiplantae; Streptophyta; Magnoliopsida; Solanales; Solanaceae
Description: long non-coding RNA (STUB_LNC007770)
Source: RNAcentral
CUGCUACACAUCACAUCUCAACUUUGACUGGCGAUUCCCAGGAUUGUUUGGUGAAGGAACUUGAACUUGAAGAUCUGACUUCCAUUUCCCCAGAUGGAAAGAGACAGCCUAGCAUGCCAAAUGAUCCAAAUUUAUCUUGUUUGGAUGGUGAAAAUACUCAUGGAGAUGCAUAUGGUAAGCACAAUACGGAUAGGCAUUCCUAUCAAAAAGAGAAUGAAAUGCUUACAUGGAGUCCACAACAAUCUGGAUCCAAUGAUGAAGAUAAUCUCGAUCUUCCGGUAUCAAGUGAAAUUGAAAAUGCGAGGGAGUCCUCAUUGUUUGAUCGAAGAUUGAGAUCUGUUAAGC